GCUGACGACCGGCGCACGGGUGAGUAACGCGUAUACAACCUACCUUUAACAGGAGGAUAGCCCCGAGAAAUCGGGAUUAAUACUCCAUAAUAAUAUUUAAUGGCAUCAUUUUGUAUUUAAAACUCCGGUGGUUAAAGAUGGGUAUGCGUGACAUUAGUUAGUUGGUAAGGUAACGGCUUACCAAGACUUCGAUGUCUAGGGGUUCUGAGAGGAUGAUCCCCCACACUGGUACUGAGACACGGACCAGACUCCUACGGGAGGCAGCAGUGAGGAAUAUUGGUCAAUGGACGCAAGUCUGAACCAGCCAUGCCGCGUGCAGGAUGACGGCCCUAUGGGUUGUAAACUGCUUUUAUUUAGGAAUAACUCCUCGGUCGUGUAUCGAGGCUGAAGGUACUAAAAGAAUAAGCACCGGCUAACUCCGUGCCAGCAGCCGCGGUAAUACGGAGGGUGCAAGCGUUAUCCGGAUUCAUUGGGUUUAAAGGGUUCGCAGGCGGCGUAUUAAGUCAGUGGUGAAAUCCCGAGGCUCAACCUCGGAACUGCCAUUGAUACUGGUAUGCUAGAGUAUAGUUGGCGUUGGCGGAAUGUAUCAUGUAGCGGUGAAAUGCUUAGAUAUGAUACAGAACACCGGAUCGNGAAGGCAGCCUAACGAAACUAUAACUGACGCUCAGGAACGAAAGCGUGGGGAGCCGAACAGGAUUAGAUACCCUGGUAGUCCC
RNAcentral lists this ribosomal RNA (716 nucleotides) under uncultured bacterium. Its description in RNAcentral is "bacterial SSU rRNA". It matches the Rfam family "Bacterial small subunit ribosomal RNA", at positions 87 to 797 of the family's 1533-position model. The record is from RNAcentral.